RNAcentral lists this non-coding RNA (31 nucleotides) under Homo sapiens (human). The record is from RNAcentral. Lineage: Eukaryota; Metazoa; Chordata; Mammalia; Primates; Hominidae.
GGAGAGCCACACUUGAUGGUGGAAUAUAAAC